GGUCGUUUAGCUCAGUAGGUAGAGCGUUUGUCUGAUAAGCAGAAGGUCCUGGGUUCGAGCCCCAGAACGACCA
Spironucleus salmonicida is the source of this 73-nucleotide non-coding RNA. NCBI's taxonomy places the organism in Eukaryota, Fornicata, Diplomonadida, Hexamitidae. The record is from Rfam.